AUUGAACGCUGGCGGAAUGCUUUACACAUGCAAGUCGAGCGGCAGCGCGGCCUUCGGGCUGGCGGCGAGCGGCGAACGGGUGAGUAAUGCAUCGGAACAUGCCCAGUCGUGGGGGAUAACACUUCGAAAGAAGUGCUAAUACCGCAUACGUCCUGAGGGGCAAAGCGGGGGAUCGCAAGACCUCGCGCGAUUGGAGUGGCCGAUGUCAGAUUAGCUAGUUGGUGGGGUAAAGGCCUACCAAGGCGACGAUCUGUAGCUGGUCUGAGAGGAUGAUCAGCCACACUGGGACUGAGACACGGCCCAGACUCCUACGGGAGGCAGCAGUGGGGAAUUUUGGACAAUGGGGGCAACCCUGAUCCAGCCAUUCCGCGUGAGUGAAGAAGGCCUUCGGGUUGUAAAGCUCUUUCGGCAGGAACGAAACGGUGGGCUCUAACAUAGUCCGCUAAUGACGGUACCUGAAGAAGAAGCACCGGCUAACUACGUG
RNAcentral lists this ribosomal RNA (484 nucleotides) under uncultured bacterium. Its description in RNAcentral is "partial 16S ribosomal RNA". It matches the Rfam family "Bacterial small subunit ribosomal RNA", at positions 30 to 507 of the family's 1533-position model. The record is from RNAcentral.